GUCUUGAUAGCUCAGUUGGUAGAGCAGGUGAUUGAAAAUCAUCGUGUCGGCAGUUCAACUCUGCCUCAAGGCACCA
This 76-nucleotide transfer RNA is filed under the name Vibrio chagasii. RNAcentral's name for it is "tRNA-Phe". It matches the Rfam family "tRNA". Rfam says of the family: Transfer RNA (tRNA) molecules are approximately 80 nucleotides in length. Their secondary structure includes four short double-helical elements and three loops (D, anti-codon, and T loops). The record is from RNAcentral. Lineage: Bacteria; Pseudomonadati; Pseudomonadota; Gammaproteobacteria; Vibrionales; Vibrionaceae.